Molecule: ribosomal RNA, 390 nt
Filed under: Triticum aestivum (bread wheat)
Lineage: Eukaryota; Viridiplantae; Streptophyta; Magnoliopsida; Poales; Poaceae
Description: partial small subunit ribosomal RNA
Source: RNAcentral
AUGGCUGUCCCGCACAGGCGAGGUCGCGUGGCGGCGCACCAUGGAGCCGGCAGAUGCAGCCGCGGCAGUGAGAAACUUGGAUGGCGUCCAUGGCGUUCUUCUAUGGUUGUGGGGGCGAAAGUGGGCUCUGGCUGCUCGUGGUCGAGCGUCGUCGCCGCUAGCGUGCACGCGACCAACGGCCCGGCGUCCAUGGUGUUCUUCUGCGGAUGGUGGGCGAGCGCAACGGCGAGUUGCGAAUCGAGCUCCGAGAGGUGGCAUCUGGGGCCAUGGCCUCGAGCCCAGGUGCGGCCAGGGCGCUCCACCGCAGGGCACCGCCGCGACCAGGGCUUCCCAGCAGGCGCCGCGAGCACGGGCGUGGCCAUGGCACUCCACAAUGGCGCGCGCUGCUAG